GUUUUUUAAAGGGGGAAAAAAAAAAAAAAGAAAGGAAAAGAGAAGACGAGCAUCGUAUUUCAAAGAUCCAAGCGGUUUCGCGCGUUCCUCAUUUUUAUGAUCGAGAGUGUCGGUAUCGAGGGAAACAAUGAGACGAGGGAUCAUACGAAUGUUUCUACGAAAACUUUGCGAGGUGCAACUUUCUUCUUUCGCUAUCCGCUUCGAUAAACCCGGACGGGGAACGAUGGAACACAAAAUUCGCUAAGACGAAAGGCGUCCGUCGUUGUUACUGACCGUUCGCAAAAGGAUAAAAGAAGAAACAAAAAACGGGAGAAGAAAAAAGGAGCUGAAAAACAAUGGUCCAUCGCGUAUGGAAGAAUAAGAGAGAAGAGGAAAGAUCCGAACGAUGACGUAGGAGGAGAGAGAAAGGGAUAUUUAAUGUAGCAGCAUGCUUGGAGCUCGCGUUGGCGAGGGUGAGAGAGGGAGAGAGAGACAGGAAGAGAGAGAAGGAGAGAAGAAAAAGAGAAAGAUAUAGUGGUACAAGGAGAGGAGUGGGAGCAGAGCCAAGCUGUCUGCUGACUCUCGCGAUCUCCGAGUGCCGAGGAGGCGAGCGCUCCUACGACGACAUUAAGUAAUAUCUCGAAGUCCUUUCUUCGAACGGCUUCAACACAGCCACACGACGUGCCGCCGACUCGUUUUUCAAGGACAAUGGAUUUAUCCGCGAACGCAUUCGCGCGGAAAAGGCGUCACGCUCGCAUUCCACACGUUGCAGCAUUAUGCCAACAACGUCAAAAGAGAGACUGCUGUUGUCGCUGUUCUCCGGUCUACCUACCGACGUUUUAACGAACGACCUGCGAAAAAGCGUCCUCGAGAUAAUAACGUCACUUGAGAUCUUCUAGCGCGACCUCUCUCUCUCUCUCUCUCUCUCUGCACCCUAUCCUCCCCUAUCGUUUUCUAUCUCACAAGUCUAGCCGAGUCAAGGUACUCAGGGAUAAUAAUGAGAUCUAGGAAACUUCGCGCACACGAUCGUUCGAUUAUCAUUUCUACAUAAAAGAGGAGGAUACGCGCUUGUGGCGCAAAGUCAUCGACGCGGAGGGAGGAGGAUCGACAGGAGCAGGAGCAGGAGCAGGAGCAGGAGUAGCAGCAGCAGCAGCAACAGCAGCAGCAGCAGCAGAAGCAGCAGCAGCAGCAGCAGCAACAGCGAGCACGUCAUCGUCCAAAGUAAUCUGGUCCGUGAGAAGAGAUACUAAACGGACAACGACGAAGAUGACGACGAAGACGACGAUGAUGAUAAGACGAAGGAAGUGGGUCGAAGUGGGAUCUUGGACGAAGAUAAAAAUGAGAAAGAUAUUCGUAAAAACGAGAUAGAUAGAUAGACAGAUAGAAACAGAGAAAGACAGAGGAGAUAGAGAGAGAGAGAGAGACAGAAAGGAUUCUUCCUACCGUCCGC
This is a long non-coding RNA of Vespula pensylvanica (western yellowjacket), 1429 nucleotides long. RefSeq lists it as uncharacterized. The transcript has 3 exons. Lineage: Eukaryota; Metazoa; Arthropoda; Insecta; Hymenoptera; Vespidae. The record is from RefSeq and is a predicted model, not a curated record.